Micropterus salmoides (largemouth bass) is the source of this 436-nucleotide long non-coding RNA. RefSeq lists it as uncharacterized. Lineage: Eukaryota; Metazoa; Chordata; Actinopteri; Centrarchiformes; Centrarchidae. The record is from RefSeq and is a predicted model, not a curated record. The transcript has 2 exons.
GUGACAACCGGGGGAACAGACGGAACACAGGUUACUGAACACAAAACAGACCAGAGUGAACACUUAACAUGAACUAAGGUACAGGACUGGGAACAAGGACAAAGAACUAAAACGCAGGAACAAGAGUUAAGGCAGUGAUUAAGAAACCAUAUAACAAGUAGACUACCAAACCAAUAUCAAAACAACACAGGACUACGAGCUAGAACACCAGACAAGACAUAAACACUAAGGACAAGGAAACAAGAAGAACAGAGUUUCCAGCAGAGCCAGAGGUCGUCUACUCUUCACUGAGGUAGACCUUCACACCUUCACACCAGUCCAACCACUGAUGUCCUGCUGGCCUGGAACUGGUCCCCAGAGCCCCUCACACCUCAGCACAUCCAUUUAUUAGAUUUCCGUCUUAAAGCUAAAUUAGCAAAUAAAUUGUUAAAAUCUA